This 94-nucleotide transfer RNA is filed under the name Biomphalaria glabrata. It matches the Rfam family "tRNA". From Rfam's summary of the family: Transfer RNA (tRNA) molecules are approximately 80 nucleotides in length. Their secondary structure includes four short double-helical elements and three loops (D, anti-codon, and T loops). Lineage: Eukaryota; Metazoa; Mollusca; Gastropoda; Planorbidae. The record is from Rfam by way of RNAcentral.
GCCUCGGUAGCGCAGUAGGUAGCGCGUCAGUCUCAUAAUCUAACUGUAGUUCGGAGGAAUCUGAAGGUCGUGAGUUCGAUCCUCACCCGGGGCA